This 497-nucleotide ribosomal RNA is filed under the name uncultured bacterium. RNAcentral describes it as "partial 16S ribosomal RNA". It matches the Rfam family "Bacterial small subunit ribosomal RNA", at positions 28 to 507 of the family's 1533-position model. The record is from RNAcentral.
GAUGAACGCUGGCGGCGUGCCUAAUACAUGCAAGUCGAGCGAACAGACGAGGAGCUUGCUCCUCUGACGUUAGCGGCGGACGGGUGAGUAACACGUGGAUGACCUACCUAUAAGACUGGGAUAACUUCGGGGAACCGGAGCUAAUACCGGAUAAUAUAUUGAACCGCAUGGUUCAAUAGUGAAAGACGGUUUUGCUGUCACUUAUAGAUGGAUCCGCGCCGCAUUAGCUAGUUGGUAAGGUAACGGCUUACCAAGGCAACGAUGCGUAGCCGACCUGAGAGGGUGAUCGGCCACACUGGAACUGAGACACGGUCCAGACUCCUACGGUAGGCAGCAGUAGGGAAUCUUCCGCAAAGGGCGAAAGCCUGACGGAGCAACGCCGCGUGAGUGAUGAAGGUCUUCGGAUCGUAAAACUCUGUUAUUAGGGAAGAACAAAUGUGUAAGUAACUAUGCACGUCUUGACGGUACCUAAUCAGAAAGCCACGGCUAACUACGUG